This 518-nucleotide ribosomal RNA is filed under the name uncultured bacterium. RNAcentral describes it as "bacterial SSU rRNA". It matches the Rfam family "Bacterial small subunit ribosomal RNA", at positions 501 to 1016 of the family's 1533-position model. The record is from RNAcentral.
CUACGUGCCAGCAGCCGCGGUAAUACGUAGGGCGCGAGCGUUGUCCGGAAUUAUUGGGCGUAAAGGGCUUGUAGGCGGUUGGUCGCGUCUGCCGCGAAAUCCUCUGGCUUAACUGGGGGCGUGCGGUGGGUACGGGCUGGCUUGAGUGCGGUAGGGGAGACUGGAACUCCUGGUGUAGCGGUGGAAUGCGCAGAUAUCAGGAAGAACACCGGUGGCGAAGGCGGGUCUCUGGGCCGUUACUGACGCUGAGGAGCGAAAGCGUGGGGAGCGAACAGGAUUAGAUACCCUGGUAGUCCACGCUGUAAACGUUGGGCACUAGGUGUGGGGGCCACCCGUGGUUUCUGCGCCGUAGCUAACGCUUUAAGUGCCCCGCCUGGGGAGUACGGCCGCAAGGCUAAAACUCAAAGGAAUUGACGGGGGCCCGCACAAGCGGCGGAGCAUGCGGAUUAAUUCGAUGCAACGCGAAGAACCUUACCAGGUCUUGACAUCCCUCUGACCGCUCUAGAGAUAGAGUUUUC